This 814-nucleotide ribosomal RNA is filed under the name Zoanthus sansibaricus. Its description in RNAcentral is "partial large subunit ribosomal RNA". It matches the Rfam family "Bacterial large subunit ribosomal RNA", at positions 1621 to 2498 of the family's 2925-position model. Lineage: Eukaryota; Metazoa; Cnidaria; Anthozoa; Zoantharia; Zoanthidae. The record is from RNAcentral.
GGUAUCCUUCUGGCAAGGGUACUGUACUAAACUAACUAAAGUGGGGGAUAGUGAGGGGAUAAAUUUUCUUAAGGAACUCGGCAAAAUCCCAAUGGCCCACCAGGGCAUAUUGGAACACGGGCCUCGACUGUUUACCAAAAACAUAGCCCUCGGCUAAUAUGAAAAUAGAUGUAUAGAGGGUGAUGCCUGCCCAAUGGUUGUAUCUAAAAGCGGUUGAUAAAAGUUGACCUCGUAAGGACAAUUGAAUGGCCGCGGUAACACUGACCGUGAUAAUGUAGCGUAAUCAAUAGCCAAUUAAUUGUUGGCCAGUAUGAAUGGCGCCACGAAGGCCCCACUGUCUUAAGGAAAUUCCCAGUGAAAUUGAAUUCGUAGUGAAGAUGCUACGUCCAAUUUGUUAGACGAAAAGACCCCGUUGAGCUUUACUGGAGCACUUACAUGGCCCCGGCCUUCCCAUGCCUGGGAACCGGCCGAAUUUAAAUGGGCGGCUUAGAUUAUGUGGCAGCCCCCCGCUGGGGCAAAUGAAACACCACUCCCCCAUGUCAAAGGGGCUAACCCCCCCCCCUUGGGGGGACAGUGUAAGUAGGACAGUUUGGUUGGGGCGACCACCUUUUAAAAAGUAACGAAGGUGCGCUUAAGGUGCGCAAUUAAUGACUGAAGCCUGACUGCGAGGGGGACACCCCGAGCAGACACCCCAAAGCCCGCCCGAAAGGCGGCGGUGGGGUGGGCCAUAGUGACCCGUUAAUUUAGAGUGGAAUAGUUAACGAUCAACGAAUAAAAGUUACCACGGGGAUAACAGCGUAAUAUCGUUAGAGAG